This 402-nucleotide ribosomal RNA is filed under the name uncultured bacterium. RNAcentral's name for it is "bacterial SSU rRNA". It matches the Rfam family "Bacterial small subunit ribosomal RNA", at positions 355 to 756 of the family's 1533-position model. The record is from RNAcentral.
UAAGGAAUAUUGCUCAAUGGGAGAAAUCCUGAAGCAGCAACGCCGCGUGGAGGAUGAAGGGUCUAUGACUUGUAAACUCCUGUAAAGAAGGAAAAAAUUCCCAUUUGAUGGGAGAUGAUGGUACUUCUGGAGUAAGCCCCGGCUAACUACGUGCCAGCAGCCGCGGUAAUACGUAGGGUGCGAGCGUUACUCGGAAUUACUGGGCGUAAAGCGUGCGCAGGCGGUUUUGUAAGACAGAGGUGAAAUCCCCGGGCUCAACAGGGGAACUUACUUUGUGACGGCAAGGCUGGAUGACGGCAAAGNGGGAUGGAAUUCCGCGUGUAGCAGUGAAAUGCGUAGAGAUGCAGAGGAACACCGAUGGCAAAGGCAAUCCCCUGGGCCUGCACUGACGCUCAUGCACGA